AAGUCGUAACAAGGUUUCCGUAGGUGAACCUGCGGAAGGAUCAUUACUGAAGCAAAGCGUCAAGCUCCUCAUUUUGUGAGGAGUUUUGAUUGCCAAGCCUACCCAUUGUGAACCUAUGAUCUUGCUUGCUUGGCACUAGAACUUGUUUUGGUGUCAGCACUUAAACUCUGUCAUAUUCAUGCCUACAAAAGAACCCACGCGACUGAUGUCUUCAAUUGAAUAAUUGAAAGUACAACUUUUAGCAACGGAUCUCUAGGCUCUU
This 262-nucleotide unclassified non-coding RNA is filed under the name fungal sp. RNAcentral's name for it is "partial internal transcribed spacer region". The stretch from base 1 to 46 matches the Rfam family "Eukaryotic small subunit ribosomal RNA", at positions 1786 to 1831 of the family's 1831-position model. Lineage: Eukaryota; Fungi. The record is from RNAcentral.